Molecule: ribosomal RNA, 497 nt
Filed under: uncultured bacterium
Lineage: Bacteria
Description: partial 16S ribosomal RNA
Rfam family: Bacterial small subunit ribosomal RNA
Source: RNAcentral
GAUGAACGCUGGCGGCGUGCCUAAUACAUGCAAGUCGAGCGAACAGACGAGGAGCUUGCUCCUCUGACGUUAGCGGCGGACGGGUGAGUAACACGUGGAUAACCUACCUAUAAGACUGGGAUAACUUCGGGAAACCGGAGCUAAUACCGGAUAACAUGUUGAACCGCAUGGUUCAACAGUGAAAGACGGUCUUGCUGUCACUUAUAGAUGGAUCCGCGCCGCAUUAGCUAGUUGGUAAGGUAACGGCUUACCAAGGCAACGAUGCGUAGCCGACCUGAGAGGGUGAUCGGCCACACUGGAACUGAGACACGGUCCAGACUCCUACGGGAGGCAGCAGUAGGGAAUCUUCCGCAAUGGGCGAAAUCCUGACGGAGCAACGCCGCGUGAGUGAAGAAGGUCUUCGGAUCGUAAAACUCUGUUAUUAGGGAAGAGCAAAUGUGUAAGUAACUAUGCACGUCUUGACGGUACCUAAUCAGAAAGCCACGGCUAACUACGUG